CACGGGGGGAGCAAGCGUUGUUCGGAAUCACUGGGCGUAAAGGGCGUCUAGGCGGUCAGAUAAGUGGGAUGUGAAAUGCCCCGGCUCACCCGGGGACCGGCAUCCCAAACUGUCUGGCUUGAGUAUGGGAGAGGAUGUGGGAAUUCCUGGUGUAGCGGUGAAAUGCGUAGAUAUCAGGAGGAACACCGGUGGCGAAGGCGCACAUCUGGCCCAAUACUGACGCUAAAGCGCGAAAGCUAGGGGAGCGAACGGG
RNAcentral lists this ribosomal RNA (253 nucleotides) under uncultured bacterium. Its description in RNAcentral is "partial 16S ribosomal RNA". It matches the Rfam family "Bacterial small subunit ribosomal RNA", at positions 524 to 776 of the family's 1533-position model. The record is from RNAcentral.